AACGAACGCUGGCGGCAUGCCUAACACAUGCAAGUCGAACGAUGCUUUCGGGCAUAGUGGCGCACGGGUGCGUAACGCGUGGGAAUCUGCCCUUGGGUUCGGCAUAACAGUGAGAAAUUGCUGCUAAUACCGGAUGAUGUCUUCGGACCAAAGAUUUAUCGCCCAGGGAUGAGCCCGCGUAGGAUUAGCUAGUUGGUGGGGUAAUGGCCUACCAAGGCGACGAUCCUUAGCUGGUCUGAGAGGAUGAUCAGCCACACUGGGACUGAGACACGGCCCAGACUCCUACGGGAGGGAGCAGUGGGGAAUAUUGGAAAAUGGGCGCAAGGCUGAACCAGCAAUGCCGGGUGAGUGAUGAAGGCCUUAGGGUUGUAAAGCUCUUUUAACCGGGAUGAUAAUGACAGUACCGGGAGAAUAAGCUCCGGCUAACUCCGUG
This 433-nucleotide ribosomal RNA is filed under the name uncultured bacterium. RNAcentral describes it as "partial 16S ribosomal RNA". It matches the Rfam family "Bacterial small subunit ribosomal RNA", at positions 29 to 507 of the family's 1533-position model. The record is from RNAcentral.